GCCAGCAACCAUAUCACCCUGCAACUCACAACUGGCAAACCACUGAAGCUUAGCAGGUGUGAGCCUGGUCAGUACCUGGAUGGGAGACCUCCUGGGAAAGCUAAGGUUGCUGCUAGAA
Ribosomal RNA from Lepisosteus oculatus (spotted gar), 118 nucleotides. NCBI's taxonomy places the organism in Eukaryota, Metazoa, Chordata, Actinopteri, Semionotiformes, Lepisosteidae. The record is from Ensembl.